AGAGUUUGAUCCUGGCUCAGAACGAACGCUGGCGGCAGGCUUAACACAUGCAAGUCGAACGCACCCUUCGGGGUGAGUGGCGCACGGGUGAGUAACGCGUGGGAACCUACCCUGGGGUCGGGAAUAACCGCUGGAAACGGCGGCUAAUACCCGAUGCGCCCUUUGGGGGAAAGAUUUAUCGCCCUGGGAUGGGCCCGCGUCCGAUUAGCUUGUUGGUGGGGUAACGGCCCACCAAGGCGUCGAUCGGUAGCUGGUCUGAGAGGAUGAUCAGCCACACUGGGACUGAGACACGGCCCAGACUCCUACGGGAGGCAGCAGUGGGGAAUCUUGGACAAUGGACGCAAGUCUGAUCCAGCCAUGCCGCGUGGGUGAAGAAGGCCUUAGGGUUGUAAAGCCCUUUCAGUCGUGACGAUGAUGACGGUAGCGACAGAAGAAGCCCCGGCCAACUCCGUGCCAGCAGCCGCGGUAAUACGGAGGGGGCAAGCGUUGUUCGGAAUUACUGGGCGUAAAGGGCGCGUAGGCGGACGGCCAAGUCAGAGGUGAAAGGCCCGGGCUCAACCUGGGACGUGCCUUUGAAACUGGUUGUCUUGAGUGC
RNAcentral lists this ribosomal RNA (595 nucleotides) under uncultured bacterium. RNAcentral's name for it is "bacterial SSU rRNA". It matches the Rfam family "Bacterial small subunit ribosomal RNA", at positions 8 to 649 of the family's 1533-position model. The record is from RNAcentral.